RNAcentral lists this ribosomal RNA (253 nucleotides) under uncultured bacterium. Its description in RNAcentral is "partial 16S ribosomal RNA". It matches the Rfam family "Bacterial small subunit ribosomal RNA", at positions 524 to 776 of the family's 1533-position model. The record is from RNAcentral.
UACGUAGGGUGCAAGCGUUGUCCGGAAUUAUUGGGCGUAAAGAGCUCGUAGGCGGUUUGUUGCGUCGGCUGUGAAAUCCCGAGGCUCAACCUCGGGUCUGCAGUCGAUACGAGCAAACUAGAGUGUGGUAGGGGAGAUCGGAAUUCCUGGUGUAGCGGUGAAAUGCGCAGAUAUCAGGAGGAACACCGGUGGCGAAGGCGGAUCUCUGGGCCAUUACUGACGCUGAGGAGCGAAAGCGUGGGGAGCGAACAGG